RNAcentral lists this unclassified non-coding RNA (520 nucleotides) under uncultured Glomus. Its description in RNAcentral is "SSU rRNA". It matches the Rfam family "Eukaryotic small subunit ribosomal RNA", at positions 569 to 1093 of the family's 1831-position model. The record is from RNAcentral. Lineage: Eukaryota; Fungi; Glomeromycota; Glomeromycetes; Glomerales; Glomeraceae.
AGCAGCCGCGGUAAUUCCAGCUCCAAUAGCGUAUAUUAAAGUUGUUGCAGUUAAAAAGCUCGUAGUUGAAUUUCGGGGUUAGUAGGUUGGUCAUGCCUCUGGUAUGUACUGGUCUCACUGAUUCCUCCUUCCUGAUGAACCUUAAUGCCAUUAAUUUGGUGUUUUGGGGAAUUUGGACUGUUACUUUGAAAAAUUAGAGUGUUUAAAGCAAGCUAACGCUUGAAUACAUUAGCAUGGAAUAAUGAAAUAGGACGUUCGAUCCUAUUUUGUUGGUUUCUAGGAUUGACGUAAUGAUUAAUAGGGAUAGUUGGGGGCAUUAGUAUUCAAUUGUCAGAGGUGAAAUUCUUGGAUUUAUUGAAGACUAACUACUGCGAAAGCAUUUGCCAAGGAUGUUUUCAUUAAUCAAGAACGAAAGUUAGGGAUCGAAGACGAUCAGAUACCGUCGUAGUCUUAACCAUAAACUAUGCCGACUAGGGAUCGGAUGAUGUUAAUUUUUAAUGACUCAUUCGGCGCCUUACGG